GUGUCAGCAGCCGCGGUAAUACGGGGGGGGUAAGCGUUGUUCGGAAUUACUGGGCGUAAAGGGCUCGUAGGCGGCCAACUAAGUCAGACGUGAAAUCCCUCAGCUUAACUGGGGAACUGCGUCUGAUACUGGAUGGCUUGGAUCCGGGAGAGGGAUGCGGAAUUCCAGGUGUAGCGGUGAAAUGCGUAGAUAUCUGGAGGAACACCGGUGGCGAAGGCGGCAUCCUGGACCGGUAUUGACGCUGAGGAGCGAAAGCCAGGGGAGCAAACGGGAUUAGAAACCCUUGUAGUCC
Molecule: ribosomal RNA, 292 nt
Filed under: uncultured bacterium
Lineage: Bacteria
Description: partial 16S ribosomal RNA
Rfam family: Bacterial small subunit ribosomal RNA
Source: RNAcentral